UGCCGGUUGUCCAAAGACCGGGGUUACUGAAGAGGCACACCUUCAUUGCCGGCAGUGCGGAGGGACAUCCCAUCCAAAGCUGAGGCAGACAAAGCGAGCCUUCGCCUUGCGGCGGAAGCUCAUCGCAAUGCGCAAGACGCGUCAA
Molecule: non-coding RNA, 145 nt
Organism: Chelativorans sp. BNC1
Lineage: Bacteria; Pseudomonadati; Pseudomonadota; Alphaproteobacteria; Hyphomicrobiales; Phyllobacteriaceae
Source: Rfam